GAAUAGGGAUCCAGUUUCUUUGAGUACUGAAACUUUAUACACAGCUUUAAAAUGGGGAUGUGUGGGUCUCCCAAUUUUGUUCUUUAUAUUUUUCUUGAAAAAAAACUGUAUUUGGUUUUUGAGGUUGACUGAACUUCCAUAUUCAUUUAGGCUCACAGUUACAUCUUUUUCAAAAAUGACAUGUGGGAAUUUUGGUAAGGUUUACAUAGGUAUGUAAAUCAACUUGCAUUUUCCAUUUCAGCAACAUUAAAUCUUAUCAAUAAAUAGUGGAUACCCAGGUAGUCUUUUAAACAUUUUCUAUAGUAUUUUCUGCAUAUAAGACAUAUUUGUUUGUAAUUUUUUGCUAUGUAUUUAAUAUUUGAUACUAUCAUAAAUGGAAUUUUUAAAGUAAUUUUGCUUUGAUAUUUAUUGUUCAGCUAAAAAAAAAUUAUUGAUUGAUUGGUGCUAUAUCCUGCACAAAUGCUGAACUUUUUGUUUAAAUACUUCUUUCGUGGUGACCUUAGGAUUUAAUUCACACAAUGCCAUCUAUCUGUUUUUAAAGUUAGAUAUAGUUUGAUAGUUUCACUUCACAUUUCUAAUGUGGAUUUUUGUUGUUGUUGUGGGAUACCAGGGAUUGAACUCAGGGGCCCUUGACUUCGGAGCCACAUCCCCAGCCCUAUUUUGUAUUUUAUUUAGAGACAGGGUCUCACUGAGUUCCUCAGCACCUUGCUUUUGCUGAGGCUGGCUUUGAACUCACAAUCCUCCUGCCUCAGCCUCCCAAGUCACUGGGAUACAGUUGUAUGCCAACCAUGCUCAGCUCUGAUAUGAAUGUAUUGUGUUUUCUACUGAUUCAAUCUCUUGUUAAGUCUUUUAAAAUUUUCUAUGUCUAAAUCAGUUUUGAUGGAUGUUUUAUAGGAAUUUGUUCACAUUCAGUUGUUCAUAAUAUGCCCUUAAAAUUCUCUAAUUUUUUUGUGGAGUCUGUUCGGAAGGUCUCACUUUUAUUUUUGAUAUUUAUUAACUGAAGUACUCUCUCUCUC
RNAcentral lists this long non-coding RNA (1016 nucleotides) under Marmota monax (woodchuck). Lineage: Eukaryota; Metazoa; Chordata; Mammalia; Rodentia; Sciuridae. The record is from RNAcentral.